GGUUGAUCGAUAAGGACGGCAAUGAUAUGAGCUUGGAAGUAUGGCCAUAAUUUUUUAGAUGAUAUCAUGAGAGCAUAGGCCAUCUUCUCAAGUUUAUGUACCUGAUCUCGACAUCAUGGAGCAUCCGGCUAACGUAGUAGAUUGGCUUUUGCACCUUGACUUUCUGGCAAAUGAGGAUGGAGCUAAUUACGAAGGUGAAAAUAGCAAGAUAUAAGUACAAUACUUCUUUGGAUUCUGGCUUGUUGAAGAGUGGAGGUGAGUCGAGGUAUUUCGUUAGGUCGUCAAAUGCAACUUGACACUCUUCC
RNAcentral lists this long non-coding RNA (305 nucleotides) under Elaeis guineensis (African oil palm). RNAcentral's name for it is "long non-coding RNA (EGUI_LNC012849)". Lineage: Eukaryota; Viridiplantae; Streptophyta; Magnoliopsida; Arecales; Arecaceae. The record is from RNAcentral.